RNAcentral lists this ribosomal RNA (253 nucleotides) under uncultured bacterium. RNAcentral's name for it is "partial 16S ribosomal RNA". It matches the Rfam family "Bacterial small subunit ribosomal RNA", at positions 524 to 776 of the family's 1533-position model. The record is from RNAcentral.
UACGGGGGGGGCAAGCGUUGUUCGGAAUUACUGGGCGUAAAGGGCUCGUAGGUGGCCAACUAAGUCAGACGUGAAAUCCCUCGGCUUAACCGGGGAACUGCGUCUGAUACUGGAUGGCUUGAGUGUGGGAGAGGGAUGCGGAAUUCCAGGUGUAGCGGUGAAAUGCGUAGAUAUCAGGAGGAACACCGGUGGCGAAGGCGGGUCUCUGGGCCGAUACUGACGCUGAGGAGCGAAAGCGUGGGGAGCGAACAGG